GGGCAUCCGUUCAAAUAAAAAUGCGUCAUGAUAUUGUGUUUUAGAGGAUGACAGGUGCUGUGGAGUUGGGAGACUGAGACUGUCAGGAGCGAGGAGGGAUGGCUGUAAUUUUAAAUAGUGGCAUCAUCAGGAUGAACCUUGCUGAACUGAAGCCCCUUCCAUGACACUAAAGUAAGAAGAUAAUUCUGGUCAUUUCAUCCAAGCCCUUCAGAUUGGCAGGUGUUUGGUUCAAACAUAUAUUCAGGACAUGACUUAUUUUGAUAUUUGAGGAGCCCUCUUCUCUCCAUCCCCUCCGGAAAAAAAAAAAGUUGAUUUUCCUUGUGAUUCUUCUGGAACUCCGAGGCAACCUGUUUUCCCAAGAACAGGGCACCGAGGUGGUCGCAAGGGUGCGGAGGGAGGAUCGCCCCUGUGGGAGAGGCGCGCCGGUCUCUCUCAGGGACCUGUAGCUACACGCAGAAGAUGCUGCCAAUUGCGCGGAGGUCUCUGACGCUUGGUGCUGAGGACAUUGUACUAAUUUAAAUGGUAUCAGAGUGAACACGAUGCUACAUGUAGAAUGAAACUUCCCAAGCCCUCACCUGAAGAGACAAGGCUGAAGUCAUAAACAUCAUACGUGGUUUGUAAAUGAAAAGUAUUGCAAACCUGCUUCUCUUCUGUGCUGGGGUCUGUACCAAUGUUCAUUGAACCAAACAAGGUCCCUAUCUUACAGAAGAUGCUUCUUGAAGGAUGGCGUGUUAAUCUUCUAAGUAUGUUCUGGUUGCGAGGAUAGAGCACUGUCACAGCUACAGCUAUACCUGUGCAAAGCCAGGAAUAACACGCUCCCUAGGAGAGUCUCUAGCCUUAAUCUGUAGCUGCAAAUAGAAAUGACAAUUCAUUUUCUCAAUAAUGAAAUGUUUUUGGGUAGGGCUAAAAGCAGAAUGAACCACCAAAAAGCCCCUUUUGACAUGGUGCCUGUGUAAAGACAAA
This 963-nucleotide long non-coding RNA is filed under the name Homo sapiens (human). RNAcentral's name for it is "long intergenic non-protein coding RNA 708". Lineage: Eukaryota; Metazoa; Chordata; Mammalia; Primates; Hominidae. The record is from RNAcentral.